CCCUUAGAUGUUCUGGGCCGCACGCGCGCUACACUGAUGCAUUCAACGAGCCUAUCCUUGACCGACAGGUCCGGGUAAUCUUUGAAUCUGCAUCGUGACGGGGAAAGAUUAUUGCAAUUAUUAAUCUUCAACGAGGAAUGCCUAGUAGGCGCAAGUCAUCAGCUUGCGUCGAUUACGUCCCUGCCCUUUGUACACACCGCCCGUCGCUCCUACCGAUUGGGUGUGCUGGUGAAAUGUUCGGAUCGGCCGUUUGUCGCGGUUUCCGCGUCAUGUGGCUGAGAAGUUCAUUAAACCCUCCCACCUAGAGGAAGGAGAAGUCGUAACA
RNAcentral lists this ribosomal RNA (325 nucleotides) under uncultured eukaryote. Its description in RNAcentral is "partial 18S ribosomal RNA". It matches the Rfam family "Eukaryotic small subunit ribosomal RNA", at positions 1470 to 1796 of the family's 1831-position model. The record is from RNAcentral.